This 417-nucleotide ribosomal RNA is filed under the name Triticum aestivum (bread wheat). Its description in RNAcentral is "partial small subunit ribosomal RNA". The record is from RNAcentral. Lineage: Eukaryota; Viridiplantae; Streptophyta; Magnoliopsida; Poales; Poaceae.
AUGCCCCCAUCUGCCGCCGCCGCCUCUGCCGCCUCCCCGCCCCCCUGUUUCACCGCCUCUCCCGCCUCCCCGCCCAUCCUCCACCGCUCCACGCCCUCAUCCUCCGCCGCUGCUGGUGGCGAGUUAUGUGCCUCCAACCGUUGGCGACGAACCAGGCCUCCAUUCAUGGCAUGCCCUUACAUGAGCGACGAUGAUUAUUUUGGUUUUUUGCAAACCAUGCAAGAUUUUUGCAGCGGCAGGACCAUGACCCCUCGAGAUAUUUACAAAAAUGUGCCUAUUAGUUCUUCUGGAACUUUUGUGGAUAAUUAUGUCCCUACAGACCUAAAGGUACCUUUUCUCAACAAGGCCUUUCUAAGGGUUAAAGCAUAUGAUAAAUCACAACUUGGAUGGUAUCCAUAUGAAAGAAGCUCUACAUAG